Molecule: long non-coding RNA, 1033 nt
Filed under: Mytilus galloprovincialis (Mediterranean mussel)
Lineage: Eukaryota; Metazoa; Mollusca; Bivalvia; Mytilida; Mytilidae
Source: RNAcentral
AUUUAUUUGAGAGGAUUAAUAUUCAACAGCAUAGUGUAUUGCUCAAAGGCAAAACAAAAAUUUUAAGUUCAUUAGACCACAUUCAUUUUGUUCAGAACCUAUGCUGUGUCAACUAUUUAAUCACAAUCCAAAUUUAGAGCUGAAUCCAGCUUGAAUGUUGUGUCCAUACUUGCCCCAACCGUUCAGGGUUCAACCUCUGCGGCCGUAUAAAGCUGCGCCCUGCGGAGCAUCUGGUUAAUAAUGAAGUCAUAUACAUAAUUAUUAUUUUGACAUUGUUUUCACAGGUAUCAAGCACCUGGUUCCUACAAUGCAUUUUGGAAAUCUGAUGAACAGAAUACUGACAAGCCAGCUAAAAAAUAUUCCUAUGGAAGAAGUGGUCCAGGGGGAGACAAUUUCAAGAAAAGAGAAAAGAAAAGGAAAAAUGACUUUCAGAAAUCUCAGGGAGAAAAACAAGACAAUCCAAAAAUGAAAAAGGAAAGCCAAAAUUUAAAAGUAAACCAGCAGUCAAGUUGAUAAUAAAUACAUUUUAGGUUUACAGACUUGUCCAGUAGAUUUAUAAGUUUCAAUUUGUCAUGUGGAACUUACUAAUUCAUAAUCAGAGACACAUCACUAGUAUAGAAACACAUUGUUGAUGUUUGAGGAUUUAACAACAAUGAAUAAUGCUUUCUUAAUUUUCCAGUGAAUGUACAGCAUAUCAGAGUUGUACAAAUUGUUAUCUUCAAUUCAAAUCAAUACCAUAGAAUGGUGUUUCUAAAGGUGCUUUAUAUAGUAAUACAUUUUGUUAAGGAAACAGCAAUUAUUUAAAGACAUAAGAAAAAUGUGGCUGGUUAUAAAUUUGAAUACGAAGUUGAAUUGAAUUGAGAAGUUUGUUAUUAAAUAAAAUAUGGUCAGAUAACAUGAUAUUUUUUCAUGGUUAUAGAUUGAAAUGAAUUUUAUGCCACUUACUUUUGAAUGAGGAUGAUUUUAUAUUGUAAUACUUUUUAAGUUAUUUUAGGAAUUGAAAAAUAGUUUUGAAAAUUAUAAUCAGGAAGCC